This 442-nucleotide ribosomal RNA is filed under the name uncultured bacterium. RNAcentral's name for it is "partial 16S ribosomal RNA". It matches the Rfam family "Bacterial small subunit ribosomal RNA", at positions 338 to 795 of the family's 1533-position model. The record is from RNAcentral.
CCUACGGGAGGCAGCAGUGGGGAAUAUUGGGCAAUGGGCGCAAGCCUGACCCAGCAACGCCGCGUGAAGGAAGAAGGCUUUCGGGUUGUAAACUUCUUUUCUCAGGGAAGAGUAGAAGACGGUACCUGACGAAUAAGCCACGGCUAACUACGUGCCAGCCGCCGCGGUAAUACGUAGGUGGCACGCGUUGUCCGGAUUUACUGGGUGUAAAGGGCGUGUAGCCGGGUUGACAAGUCAGAUGUGAAAUCCUGCGGCUUAACCGCAGAACUGCAUUUGAAACUGUUGAUCUUGAGUACUGGAGAGGCAGACGGAAUUCCGAGUGUAGCGGUGAAAUGCGUAGAUAUUAGGAGGAACACCAGUGGCGAAGGCGGUCUGCUGGACAGCAACUGACGGUGAGGCGCGAAAGCGUGGGGAGCAAACAGGAUUAGAUACCCGUGUAGUC